Small nuclear RNA from Rhinopithecus bieti (black snub-nosed monkey), 99 nucleotides. NCBI's taxonomy places the organism in Eukaryota, Metazoa, Chordata, Mammalia, Primates, Cercopithecidae. The record is from Ensembl.
GUGCUUGCUCCGGCAGCACAUAUACUAAAAUGGGACUUAGAAGAUUAGCAUGGCCCAUGCACAAUGAUGACAUAAAUUUGUGAAGAGUUCCAUGUUUUU